CGUAACACGUGGGCAACCUGCCCUGAAGCGGGGGACAACAACUCGAAAGAGUUGCUAAUACCGCAUGUGUAUCGGGAUGGCAUCAUCCAGGAUACAAAGCCUUCGGGCACUUCAGGAUGGGCCCGCGGCCUAUCAGCUAGUUGGUGAGGUAACGGCCCACCAAGGCUUCGACGGGUAGCUGGUCUGAGAGGACGAUCAGCCGGAUUGGGACUGAGAUACGGCCCAG
This 226-nucleotide ribosomal RNA is filed under the name uncultured bacterium. RNAcentral's name for it is "partial 16S ribosomal RNA". It matches the Rfam family "Bacterial small subunit ribosomal RNA", at positions 109 to 334 of the family's 1533-position model. The record is from RNAcentral.